GCCCGCGUAGCUUAGGCAGCAGAGCGCCUUCCUGGUCCGGAGGAAACCCGAGUGCAACUCUCGGCGUGGGCU
This 72-nucleotide transfer RNA is filed under the name Planctomycetota bacterium. RNAcentral describes it as "Planctomycetes bacterium (subsurface metagenome) tRNA-Thr". It matches the Rfam family "tRNA". From Rfam's summary of the family: Transfer RNA (tRNA) molecules are approximately 80 nucleotides in length. Their secondary structure includes four short double-helical elements and three loops (D, anti-codon, and T loops). Lineage: Bacteria; Pseudomonadati; Planctomycetota. The record is from RNAcentral.